CCUUCCCAUAAGCCUGUGCGCACCUCGCGGUGGACGCUGCGGGGCUGAGCAGGUGCGGGUAGCGUCUCUCUGGUUUCAAUUCUUUACCGCUGACUCAGACUCAGCCGUUUUCAGGUCACGAUUUUCUAAUUGCUGCCUAGAAAAUGAGCAGACGUGUGCGCUCAAAAUCCAGAGGAAGAGGAGAUGGUCAGGAAUCUUCCACUUUGGUUGAUACUGUGGCUGUCCGAAAGCCCAGUGGAAAUGAAGAGGAACCACCGACUGAGAGUCAGGAAAUUGAACCUGGACAAGAGGGAGGAGAAGGAGUACCCGUGGUUGACAGUGAAGAGGGAGAACUUGAACUGGAAGGUGGUCCCCCGGAAAUGGUUCUGGAAAAGACUGGAGGUGAACGUGGAGAUGGUCCUGAUGUGAAAGCGAAGACUCCUCCACCUACUCCGGAGUAAGCUAAAGUUCCAAAAGCAGAAAAUGGACAGUCCUAAGUUGACAAGAAGACAAACCGAAGCUACACAUGCUGUUACAUUGAAAAUUUGACUUGUUAAAUUCUCUAUUCAAUAAAGUUUUACAGUUUUCUCUGCAA
Molecule: non-coding RNA, 574 nt
Organism: Microcebus murinus (gray mouse lemur)
Lineage: Eukaryota; Metazoa; Chordata; Mammalia; Primates; Cheirogaleidae
Source: RefSeq, a predicted model, not a curated record